GGGUGGUUAGCUCAGUUGGGAGAGCGCACGCUUGACGUGCGUGAGGUCGCAGGUUCAAGUCCUGCACCACCCA
This 73-nucleotide transfer RNA is filed under the name Desulfobacteraceae bacterium. RNAcentral's name for it is "tRNA-Val". It matches the Rfam family "tRNA". Rfam says of the family: Transfer RNA (tRNA) molecules are approximately 80 nucleotides in length. Their secondary structure includes four short double-helical elements and three loops (D, anti-codon, and T loops). The record is from RNAcentral. Lineage: Bacteria; Pseudomonadati; Thermodesulfobacteriota; Desulfobacteria; Desulfobacterales; Desulfobacteraceae.